RNAcentral lists this ribosomal RNA (301 nucleotides) under uncultured Gammaproteobacteria bacterium. It matches the Rfam family "Bacterial small subunit ribosomal RNA", at positions 1229 to 1533 of the family's 1533-position model. Lineage: Bacteria; Pseudomonadati; Pseudomonadota; Gammaproteobacteria. The record is from RNAcentral.
AAUGGGAAGGACAAAGGGUCGCAACCUCGCGAGAGCAAGCUAAUCUCAUAAACCUUUUCGUAGUCCGGAUCGGAGUCUGCAACUCGACUCCGUGAAGUCGGAAUCGCUAGUAAUCGUAGAUCAGAACGCUACGGUGAAUACGUUCCCGGGUCUUGUACACACCGCCCGUCAUACCAUGGGAGUGGGUUGCAAAAGAAGUGGGUAGCUUAUUUGGGCGCUCACCACUUUGUGAUUCAUGACUGGGGUAAAGUCGUAACAAGGUAACCCUAGCGGAAGCUGGGGUUGGAUCACCUCCUUAAGA